RNAcentral lists this transfer RNA (92 nucleotides) under Bacteroidota bacterium. Its description in RNAcentral is "Bacteroidetes bacterium (freshwater metagenome) tRNA-Ser". It matches the Rfam family "tRNA". From Rfam's summary of the family: Transfer RNA (tRNA) molecules are approximately 80 nucleotides in length. Their secondary structure includes four short double-helical elements and three loops (D, anti-codon, and T loops). Further hydrogen bonds mediate the characteristic L-shaped molecular structure. tRNAs have two regions of fundamental functional importance: the anti-codon, which is responsible for specific mRNA codon recognition, and the 3' end, to which the tRNAs corresponding amino acid is attached (by aminoacyl-tRNA synthetases). tRNAs cope with the degeneracy of the genetic code in two manners: having more than one tRNA (with a specific anti-codon) for a particular amino acid; and 'wobble' base-pairing, i.e. permitting non-standard base-pairing at the 3rd anti-codon position. Lineage: Bacteria; Pseudomonadati; Bacteroidota. The record is from RNAcentral.
GGAGAGAUGGGUGAGCGGCUGAAACCAGUAGUUUGCUAAACUGCCGCACUGGGAAACUGGUGCCGAGGGUUCGAAUCCCUCUCUCUCCGCAA